UAGGACGAACGCUGGCGGCGUGCCUAACACAUGCAAGUCGAGCGGGGACAUGCGACGGAGAUGAAGUUUCGGAUGGAAUUGAAGAUGUAUGUUCUAGCGGCGGACGGGUGAGUAACGCGUGAGCAACCUGUCCUUCACAGGGGGAUAACACAGCGAAAGUUGUACUAAUACCGCAUAAGACCACAGCAGGACAUCCUGCAGGGGUCAAAGGAGCAAUCCGGUGAAGGGUGGGCUCGCGUCCGAUUAGAUAGUUGGUGAGGUAACGGCCCACCAAGUCAACGAUCGGUAGCCGACCUGAGAGGGUGAUCGGCCACAUUGGGACUGAGACACGGCCCAAACUCCUACGGGAGGCAGCAGUGGGGAAUAUUGGGCAAUGGGGGGAACCCUGAACCCCCAGCAACGCCGCGUGAGGGAAGAAGGUUUUCGGAUCGUAAACCUCUGUCCUAUGUGAAGAGUAAGAGACGGUAGCAUAGGAGGAAGCCCCGGCUAACUACGUGCCAGCAGCCGC
RNAcentral lists this ribosomal RNA (508 nucleotides) under uncultured bacterium. RNAcentral describes it as "bacterial SSU rRNA". It matches the Rfam family "Bacterial small subunit ribosomal RNA", at positions 26 to 518 of the family's 1533-position model. The record is from RNAcentral.